UACGUAGGGGGCAAGCGUUGUCCGGAUUUAUUGGGCGUAAAGAGCUCGUAGGCGGUUUGGUAAGUCAGGUGUGAAAUCUCCACGCUCAACGUGGAGGGGCCACCUGAUACUGCCAUGACUGGAGUCCGGUAGAGGAGUGUGGAAUUCCAGGUGUAGCGGUGAAAUGCGUAGAUAUCUGGAGGAAUACCGGUGGCGAAGGCGGCAUCCUGGACCGGCAUUGACGCUGAGGAGCGAAAGCCAGGGGAGCAAACGGG
This 254-nucleotide ribosomal RNA is filed under the name uncultured bacterium. Its description in RNAcentral is "partial 16S ribosomal RNA". It matches the Rfam family "Bacterial small subunit ribosomal RNA", at positions 524 to 776 of the family's 1533-position model. The record is from RNAcentral.